RNAcentral lists this ribosomal RNA (372 nucleotides) under uncultured organism. Its description in RNAcentral is "partial 16S ribosomal RNA". It matches the Rfam family "Bacterial small subunit ribosomal RNA", at positions 527 to 896 of the family's 1533-position model. The record is from RNAcentral.
GUACUGUGCAAACGUUGUUCGGAAUCACUGGGCUUAAAGGGUACGUAGGCGGCCAGUUAAGUAGGGUGUGAAAUCCCCCGGCUCAACCGGGGAACUGCGCUCUAAACUGACUGGCUUGAGUGAGAUAGGGGUGUGCGGAACUUCCAGUGGAGCGGUGAAAUGUGUUGAUAUUGGAAGGAACGCCGUUAGCGAAAGCGGCACACUGGGUCUCAACUGACGCUGAGGUACGAAAGCCAGGGUAGCGAACGGGAUUAGAUACCCCGGGUAGUGCUGGCUGUAAACGUUGAGCACUAGUCGGGAGGGGUUUUCGGCCCUUCCCGGACGCAGCGAAAGCACUAAGUGCUCCGCCUGGGGAGUAUGGUCGCAAGGCUG